This 73-nucleotide transfer RNA is filed under the name Aliidongia dinghuensis. RNAcentral's name for it is "tRNA-Ser". Lineage: Bacteria; Pseudomonadati; Pseudomonadota; Alphaproteobacteria; Rhodospirillales; Dongiaceae. The record is from RNAcentral.
GCAAUUGGGGCGUCGCAGGCGCGCUCUCGCUGCUGCUGCUGGCGAUCUCGGGGAUCCUGUUCCUGCUGUUGCA